This 65-nucleotide transfer RNA is filed under the name Austinograea sp. PX-2020. RNAcentral's name for it is "tRNA-Cys". It matches the Rfam family "tRNA". From Rfam's summary of the family: Transfer RNA (tRNA) molecules are approximately 80 nucleotides in length. Their secondary structure includes four short double-helical elements and three loops (D, anti-codon, and T loops). The record is from RNAcentral. Lineage: Eukaryota; Metazoa; Arthropoda; Malacostraca; Decapoda; Bythograeidae.
GGUUCUAUAGUAAAAGAAAUAACGUUAGGUUGCAAAUCUAAAGAUGUGUAAGUGCACUGGAACUU